UAGGACUAUAGCCAAAUUGGUAAGGCAUCAGGUUUUGAUCCUGUGUAUUGUUGGUUCGAGCCCAGCUAGUCCUAU
Molecule: transfer RNA, 75 nt
Filed under: Lactobacillus gasseri
Lineage: Bacteria; Bacillati; Bacillota; Bacilli; Lactobacillales; Lactobacillaceae
Description: tRNA-Gln(ttg)
Rfam family: tRNA
About the family: Transfer RNA (tRNA) molecules are approximately 80 nucleotides in length. Their secondary structure includes four short double-helical elements and three loops (D, anti-codon, and T loops).
Source: RNAcentral